Molecule: ribosomal RNA, 460 nt
Filed under: uncultured bacterium
Lineage: Bacteria
Description: partial 16S ribosomal RNA
Rfam family: Bacterial small subunit ribosomal RNA
Source: RNAcentral
CCUACGGGAGGCAGCAGUGAGGAAUAUUGGUCAAUGGGCUUACGCCUGAACCAGCCAAGUCGCGUGAGGGAAGACUGCCCUCUGGGUUGUAAACCUCUUUUGUCAGGGAGCAACGCCGGCUACGUGUAGCCGGACUGAGAGUACCUGAAGAAAACGCAUCGGCUAACUCCGUGCCAGCAGCCGCGGUAAUACGGAGGAUUCGAGCGUUAUCCGGAUUUAUUGGGUUUAAAGGAUGCGUAGGCGGAAUGCCAAGUCAGCGGUAAAAGCGCGGGGCUCAACCUCGCUCCGCCGUUGAAACUGGCGUUCUUGAGUGGGCGAGAAGUAUGCGGAAUGCGUGGUGUAGCGGUGAAAUGCAUAGAUAUCACGCAGAACUCCGAUUGCGAAGGCAGCAUACCGGCGCCCAACUGACGCUGAAGCACGAAAGCGUGGGUAUCGAACAGGAUUAGAUACCCUGGUAGUC